RNAcentral lists this ribosomal RNA (440 nucleotides) under uncultured bacterium. RNAcentral describes it as "bacterial SSU rRNA". It matches the Rfam family "Bacterial small subunit ribosomal RNA", at positions 958 to 1398 of the family's 1533-position model. The record is from RNAcentral.
AACGCGAAGAACCUUACCUGGGCUUGAAAGACAGAUGACAGUCUCCGAAAGGAGAUCUUUCGCAAGAACAUCUGUCUAGGUGCUGCAUGGCUGUCGUCAGCUCGUGCCGUGAGGUGUCGGGUUAAGUCCCAUAACGAGCGCAACCCCUAUUUCUAGUUGCCAUACCUUAAUUGGUGGAACUCUAGAGAAACUGCCAGCGUAAGCUGUGAGGAAGGAGGGGAUGACGUCAAGUCAGCACGGCCCUUACGUCCAGGGCUACACACGUGCUACAAUGGCCGGUACAAUGGGUCGCUACACAGCAAUGUGAUGCUAAUCUCAAAAACCGGUCCCAGUUCGGAUUGAAGUCUGCAAUUCGACUUCAUGAAGCUGGAUUCGCUAGUAAUCGGAUAUCAGCUACGAUCCGGUGAAUACGUUCCCGGGCCUUGUACACACCGUACGUC